RNAcentral lists this ribosomal RNA (1495 nucleotides) under uncultured bacterium. RNAcentral describes it as "bacterial SSU rRNA". It matches the Rfam family "Bacterial small subunit ribosomal RNA". The record is from RNAcentral.
AGAGUUUGAUCCUGGCUCAGGACGAACGCUGGCGGCGUGCUUAACACAUGCAAGUCUACGAGAACGAGGUAGCAAUAUCUUUAGUAAAGUGGCGCACGGGUGCGUAACACGUAAGCAAUCUACCUUUGGGUCUGGAAUAACUUCGAGAAAUCGAGGCUAAUACCGGAUAAUGCAGCGGCACCGCAUGGUGAUGUUGUUAAAGUUUAAGUAAUGCCUAUAGAUGAGCUUGCGUCUGAUUAGCUAGUUGGUAGGGUAAAGGCCUACCAAGGCUACGAUCAGUAGCUGGUCUGAGAGGAUGAUCAGCCACACUGGAACUGAGACACGGUCCAGACUCCUACGGGAGGCAGCAGUGAGGAAUAUUGGGCAAUGCCCGCAAGGGUGACCCAGCAACGCCGCGUGGAGGAUGAAGGCCGUAAGGUUGUAAACUCCUGUUAGAGGAGAAGAACAGUACCGAUUGGAUCGGUAUUUGACUGUACCCUCAGAGAAAGCCCCGGCUAACUACGUGCCAGCAGCCGCGGUAAUACGUAGGGGGCAAGCGUUGUCCGGAUUUACUGGGUGUAAAGGGCGCGCAGGCGGAAUAUCAAGUCAGAGGUGAAAUCCUACAGCUUAACUGUAGAACUGCCUUUGAUACUGUUAUUCUUGAGUUCGGGAGAGAGAGACGGAAUUCCAGGUGUAGUGGUGAAAUACGUAGAUAUCUGGAAGAACACCAGUUGCGAAGGCGGUCUCUUGGUCCGAUACUGACGCUGAGGCGCGAAAGCGUGGGGAGCAAACAGGAUUAGAUACCCUGGUAGUCCACGCUGUAAACGAUGAAUACUAGGUGUUGGGUUUUUAACUCAGUGCCGCAGCUAACGCAUUAAGUAUUCCACCUGGGAAGUACGAUCGCAAGGUUGAAACUCAAAGGAAUUGACGGGGGCCCGCACAAGCAGUGGAGCAUGUGGUUUAAUUCGAUGCAACGCGAAGAACCUUACCUAGGCUUGAAAGGCAAGUGACAGGGUAUGAAAGUACCCCUCCAGCAAUGGCACUUGUACAGGUGCUGCAUGGCUGUCGUCAGCUCGUGCCGUGAGAUGUUGGGUUAAGUCCCGCAACGAGCGCAACCCUCAUCUCCAGUUACCAGCGGGUAAUGCCGGGGACUCUGGAGGGACUGCCGGUGCCAAACCGGAGGAAGGUGGGGAUGACGUCAAGCCAUCAUGGCUCUUACAUCCAGGGCUACACACGUGCUACAAUGGCCGAGACAGAGGGCUGCGAACCCGCGAGGGGGAGCCAAUCCCCCAAACUCGGCCUCAGUUCGGAUUGUAGUCUGCAACUCUACUACAUGAAGCUGGAAUCGCUAGUAAUCGUGGAUCAGCUACGCCACGGUGAAUACGUUCCCGGGCCUUGUACACACCGCCCGUCACGCCAUGGAAGCUGUGAGUGCCCGAAGUCGGUGUCGCAACCGCAAGGAGCAAGCCGCCGAAGGCAAGCGCAGUGACUGGGGCGAAGUCGUAACAAGGUAGCC